This 494-nucleotide ribosomal RNA is filed under the name uncultured bacterium. Its description in RNAcentral is "partial 16S ribosomal RNA". It matches the Rfam family "Bacterial small subunit ribosomal RNA", at positions 28 to 507 of the family's 1533-position model. The record is from RNAcentral.
GACGAACGCUGGCGGCGUGCUUAACACAUGCAAGUCGAACGGAAAGGCCUGCUUUCCCUUGUGGAUUGCGGGUACUCGAGUGGCGAACGGGUGAGUAACACGUGAGUGAUCUGCCCCCAACUUGGGUAUAAGCCUGGGAAACUGGGUCUAAUUCCCGAUAGGACUGCAGGGUGGUGCCUGUGGUGGAAAACGAUUUUCUAGUGGUUGGGGAUGAGCUCGCGGCCUAUCAGCUUGUUGGUGGGGUAAUGGCCUACCAAGGCGGCGACGGGUAGCCGGCCUGGGAGGGUGGACGGCCACAUUGGGACUGGGAUACGGCCCAGACGCCUACGGGAGGCAGCAGUGGGGAAUAUUGCACAAUGGGCGGAAGCCUGAUGCAGCGACGCCGCGUGGGGGAUGACGGCCUUCGGGUUGUAAACUCCUUUCGACCGCGAGGAAGCCACCUGGUUGGAAGGGUGGUGACGGUAGUGGUAGAAGAAGCACCGGCUAACUACGUG